Molecule: ribosomal RNA, 579 nt
Filed under: uncultured bacterium
Lineage: Bacteria
Description: partial 16S ribosomal RNA
Rfam family: Bacterial small subunit ribosomal RNA
Source: RNAcentral
UAAGGAAUAUUGCUCAAUGGGAGAAAUCCUGAAGCAGCAACGCCGCGUGGAGGAUGAAGGGUUUUUAACUUGUAAACUCCUGUAAAGAAGGAAAAAAUUCCCAUUAGAUGGGAAAUGAUGGUACUUCUGGAGUAAGCCCCGGCUAACUACGUGCCAGCAGCCGCGGUAAUACGUAGGGGGCAAGCGUUGUCCGGAUUUACUGGGUGUAAAGGGUGCUCAGGCGGAUUUGUAAGUCAGAGGUGAAAUCUCACAGCUUAACUGUGAAACUGCCUUUGAUACUGCAAGCCUAGAGUAUGGAAGAGAGUGAUGGAAUAUCUGGUGUAGCAGUGAAAUGCGUAGAUAUCAGAUAGAACACCAAUGGCGAAGGCAGUCACUUGGUCCAUAACUGACGCUAAAGCACGAAAGCGUGGGUAGCAAAACAGGAUCAGAUACCCUGGUAGUCCACGCCCUAAACGAUGAAUACUAGAUGUUGGCUUCGCAUGAAGUCAGUAUCUGAGCUAACGCAUUAAGUAUUCCACCUGGAAGUACGAUCGCAAGGUUGAAACUCAAAUGAAUUGACGGGGUCAUAGCUGUUUCCUG